AUAUCUAAUUAGCAUUUCUUGCCCGCAUUCUCCACCAAAUUGUAGGAAUUACUUCAUGAAAUUAGGACCAGCCUGUUUUUCAUAAAAAUUCCAGCAAGACCUUGCAAGAAAUGAAAUCAGAAAUAU
Molecule: long non-coding RNA, 126 nt
Organism: Austrofundulus limnaeus
Lineage: Eukaryota; Metazoa; Chordata; Actinopteri; Cyprinodontiformes; Rivulidae
Exons: 3
Source: RefSeq, a predicted model, not a curated record